GGAGUGUUGGUCGAGUGGUUUAAGGCAUCUCACUGCUAACGAGACGAAGGUAAAACUUCCGCAGGUUCGAAUCCUGCACACUCCGCCA
This 88-nucleotide transfer RNA is filed under the name Caudoviricetes sp. RNAcentral describes it as "tRNA-Ser". It matches the Rfam family "tRNA". From Rfam's summary of the family: Transfer RNA (tRNA) molecules are approximately 80 nucleotides in length. Their secondary structure includes four short double-helical elements and three loops (D, anti-codon, and T loops). The record is from RNAcentral. Lineage: Duplodnaviria; Heunggongvirae; Uroviricota; Caudoviricetes.